UACGUAGGGUGCAAGCGUUAAUCGGAAUUACUGGGCGUAAAGCGUGCGCAGGCGGCUGUGCAAGACCGAUGUGAAAUCCCCGGGCUUAACCUGGGAAUGGCAUUGGUGACUGCACGGCUAGAGUGUGUCAGAGGGGGGUAGAAUUCCACGUGUAGCAGUGAAAUGCGUAGAGAUGUGGAGGAAUACCGAUGGCGAAGGCAGCCCCCUGGGAUAACACUGACGCUCAUGCACGAAAGCGUGGGGAGCAAACAGG
RNAcentral lists this ribosomal RNA (253 nucleotides) under uncultured bacterium. RNAcentral describes it as "partial 16S ribosomal RNA". It matches the Rfam family "Bacterial small subunit ribosomal RNA", at positions 524 to 776 of the family's 1533-position model. The record is from RNAcentral.